Molecule: long non-coding RNA, 1143 nt
Organism: Monopterus albus (swamp eel)
Lineage: Eukaryota; Metazoa; Chordata; Actinopteri; Synbranchiformes; Synbranchidae
Exons: 3
Source: RefSeq, a predicted model, not a curated record
UAGAUUAGGGCACUUGUAGAAUUUGGCGCCGUUUGCUGGAGUAAUGAAGUAUCUGUCUUGUAACCGUGAAGAAUUUUGGAUGGCCAAAGUUGUGACAGGGCUCCUUGUGGCAGAAAAAAAAAGAUUAUAAAAGUACGGCUAAUGCGUAAUUGACUAAAAUGGACUGAAUUCAACAGAAGCCAGAGGCAGUCCAAGGGAGCCUUCUGUCGGCGGACUACAGGAUAUGAUCUUGCUCACAGACACUUGGGUGGGCAUACCUAUUGACAGAGAGUGCUGCAGCAUCCCCACUCACUGUGCAAUUGCAUGUGGUUGUACACAACCACACAUAAGGAGACUUUGCUGACGGGCAUCCAAGCUCACACAUGCUGUUGAUUGAACAUGUGUUUGCAGAACGUCACUGAUGAAUCACAUUUUGAUGUGGACCAGUUGCCAUUGCUCGUGCAGGAUGAUCUGAUUGGCAGAGGGAGCAGGCCUGCUCUUUUAAAUUAUAGGCUUGUGUUGGAUGUCCACAAGAGGUAAUGAGUGGAUAGCCUGAGUCACGCUGUGUGUCGGCCUCUGCACUUCAAUCAACGGCCAUAUCCACUGUGACUGAAAAGAUCUGUAUUUUGUUAUGCUGUGCCCGGCAUAACCACAGAGCGCAUCAUGUGACGUGCCCCAGAGGAGUCUUGUUGAACUUGGAUCCUUCCCCUUGAGUAUGGCCAUCUGUGUCCCUGGAGAGUCAACAGUGACAGCAGUGCACAGUUUCCCAGCAAGGCUCCUAAGAAAAGAUUCAACCAGAGUCUCAUCUCACAUCUGGAUGACCCAGAAGUUAGAGGUCGGGGUUGUCAUGGCAGUUGGAGGGGGCUUAAUUCCAGUUCGCUCUUGUGCUUAGGUUGUCUGUGUUGCUUGGACACAUUGCUCUUUUAGUGCAACUAACUUUGUUGACCAGAAUUGCAUUCAUACAUUUGGUCACAUGAGUGAAAGUAGUUGGCAUAACUUUAGGGGAUUACUCGGGUAACACAAAGGAGAAUAUUAAAAGAGGUGUUAUUGCCAGAGUGGUGUUAGUGUUGUUUUGGGGUUAGAGUUUUAACAUUUGUUUUAAAUGUUCUUAGUCACAUCAAGUGUAAAAAUGUCUGGCCUUGCCUUUUCUACUGAGCACUGCUG